This 522-nucleotide ribosomal RNA is filed under the name uncultured Glomeromycotina. RNAcentral describes it as "SSU rRNA". It matches the Rfam family "Eukaryotic small subunit ribosomal RNA", at positions 569 to 1092 of the family's 1831-position model. Lineage: Eukaryota; Fungi; Glomeromycota. The record is from RNAcentral.
AGCAGCCGCGGUAAUUCCAGCUCCAAUAGCGUAUAUUAAAGUUGUUGCAGUUAAAAAGCUCGUAGUUGAAUUUCGGGGUUAGCAGGUCGGUCGUGCCAUUGGUAUGAACUGGUCUCGCUGAUCCCUCCCUCUUGACGAACUGUGAUGCCAUUAAUUUGGUGUCGCAGGGAAUCAGGACUGUUACUUUGAAAAAAUUAGAGUGUUUAAAGCAGGCUUUAGCUUGAAUACAUUAGCAUGGAAUAAUGAAAUAGGACGUUUGAUCCUAUUUUGUUGGUUUCUAGGAUUGACGUAAUGAUUAAUAGGGAUAGUUGGGGGCAUUAGUAUUCAAUUGUCAGAGGUGAAAUUCUUGGAUUUAUUGAAGACUAACUACUGCGAAAGCAUUUGCCAAGGAUGUUUUCAUUAAUCAAGAACGAAAGUUAGGGGAUCGAAGACGAUCAGAUACCGUCGUAGUCUUAACCAUAAACUAUGCCGACUAGGGAUCGGAUGAUGUUAAUUUUUUAAUGACUCGUUCGGCGCCUUACG